RNAcentral lists this ribosomal RNA (253 nucleotides) under uncultured bacterium. RNAcentral's name for it is "partial 16S ribosomal RNA". It matches the Rfam family "Archaeal small subunit ribosomal RNA", at positions 474 to 727 of the family's 1478-position model. The record is from RNAcentral.
UACCAGCACCCCGAGUGGUCGGGACGUUUAUUGGGCCUAAAGCAUCCGUAGCCGGUUCCACAAGUCUUCCGUUAAAUCCACCUGCUUAACAGAUGGGCUGCGGAAGAUACUAUGGAGCUAGGAGGCGGGAGAGGCAAGCGGUACUCGAUGGGUAGGGGUAAAAUCCGUUGAUCCAUUGAAGACCACCAGUGGCGAAGGCGGCUUGCCAGAACGCGCUCGACGGUGAGGGAUGAAAGCUGGGGGAGCAAACCGG